Molecule: ribosomal RNA, 118 nt
Filed under: Scophthalmus maximus (turbot)
Lineage: Eukaryota; Metazoa; Chordata; Actinopteri; Pleuronectiformes; Scophthalmidae
Source: RNAcentral
GCUUACGGCCACACCGCCUGGUUCAGCCCGAUCUCGUUUGAUCUCGGAAGCUAAGGUAGGUUGGGCCUGGUUAGUACUUGGAUGGGAGACCGCCUGGGAAUACCAGGUGCUGUAAACU